AGUGAACGCUGGCGGUAGGCCUAACACAUGCAAGUCGAACGGCAGCACAUUAAGAGCUUGCUCUUACGGGUGGCGAGUGGCGGACGGGUGAGGAAUACAUCGGAAUCUACUUUUUCGUGGGGGAUAACGUAGGGAAACUUACUCUAAUACCGCAUACGACCUACGGGUGAAAGCAGGGGAUCUUCGGACCUUGCGCGAUUGAAUGAGCCGCUGUCGGAUUAGCUAGUUGGCGGGGUAAAGGCCCACCAAGGCGACGAUCCGUAGCUGGUCUGAGAGGAUGAUCGGCCACACUGGAACUGAGACACGGUCCAGACUCCUACGGGAGGCAGCAGUGGGGAAUAUUGGACAAUGGGCGAAAGCCUGAUCCAGCCAUACCGCGUGGGUGAAGAAGGCCUUCGGGUUGUAAAGCCCUUUUGUUGGGAAAGAAAAGCAGCAGGUUAAUACCCCGCUGUUCUGACGGUACCCAAAGAAUAAGCACCGGCUAACUUCGUG
Molecule: ribosomal RNA, 492 nt
Filed under: uncultured bacterium
Lineage: Bacteria
Description: partial 16S ribosomal RNA
Rfam family: Bacterial small subunit ribosomal RNA
Source: RNAcentral